GAUCAUGGCUCAGGACGAACGCUGGCGGCGCGCCUAACACAUGCAAGUCGAACGAGCGAGAGAGAGCUUGCUUUCUCGAGCGAGUGGCGAACGGGUAAGUAACGCGUGAGGAACCUGCCUCAAAGAGGGGGACAACAGUUGGAAACGACUGCUAAUACCGCAUAAGCCCACGGGUCGGCAUCGACCAGAGGGAAAAGGAGCAAUCCGCUUUGAGAUGGCCUCGCGUCCGAUUUG
RNAcentral lists this ribosomal RNA (234 nucleotides) under uncultured bacterium. RNAcentral describes it as "partial 16S ribosomal RNA". It matches the Rfam family "Bacterial small subunit ribosomal RNA", at positions 15 to 244 of the family's 1533-position model. The record is from RNAcentral.